UACGUAGGGACCGAGCGUUGUCCGGAAUCAUUGGGCGUAAAGAGCGUGUAGGCGGCCACUUAAGUCCUGCGUGAAAUCUUGCGGCUCAACCGCAAGCGGUCGUGGGAAACUGGGUGGCUAGAGUGCGGGAGAGGAGAGUGGAAUUCCUGGUGUAGCGGUGGAAUGCGCAGAUAUCAGGAAGAACACCAGUGGCGAAGGCGGCUCUCUGGAACGCAACUGACGCUGAGACGCGAAAGCGUGGGGAGCAAACAGG
Molecule: ribosomal RNA, 253 nt
Filed under: uncultured bacterium
Lineage: Bacteria
Description: partial 16S ribosomal RNA
Rfam family: Bacterial small subunit ribosomal RNA
Source: RNAcentral